GCGCCGCGCUGACGGGGUUCGGCUUCGCGCUGAUCUUCCCGGCGCUCGGCGUCGAGGCCGUCGCGCUGGUGCCGGCCGCCAGCCGCGGCGCG
This 92-nucleotide transfer RNA is filed under the name Burkholderia multivorans. RNAcentral describes it as "tRNA-Lys". The record is from RNAcentral. Lineage: Bacteria; Pseudomonadati; Pseudomonadota; Betaproteobacteria; Burkholderiales; Burkholderiaceae.